This 116-nucleotide ribosomal RNA is filed under the name uncultured bacterium. RNAcentral describes it as "partial 16S ribosomal RNA". It matches the Rfam family "Bacterial small subunit ribosomal RNA", at positions 1358 to 1482 of the family's 1533-position model. The record is from RNAcentral.
UACGGUGAAUACGUUCCCGGACCUUGUACACACCGCCCGUCCAGCCAUGGAAGCUGGGUGUACCUAAAGUCGGUAACCGCAAGGAGCCGCCUAGGGUAAAACUAGUAACUGGGGCU